RNAcentral lists this ribosomal RNA (510 nucleotides) under uncultured bacterium. Its description in RNAcentral is "partial 16S ribosomal RNA". It matches the Rfam family "Bacterial small subunit ribosomal RNA", at positions 28 to 507 of the family's 1533-position model. The record is from RNAcentral.
GACGAGCGCUGGCGGCGUGCUUAACACAUGCAAGUCGAACGAAGAGCGAUGGAAGCUUGCUUCUAUCAAUCUUAGUGGCGAACGGGUGAGUAACGCGUAAUCAACCUGCCCUUCAGAGGGGGACACCAGUUGGAAACGACUGCUAAUACCGCAUACGAUCUGACCUCGGCAUCGAGGAGAGAUGAAAGGUGGCCUCUACAUGUAAGCUAUCACUGAAGGAGGGGAUUGCGUCUGAUUAGCUAGUUGGAGGGGUAACGGCCCACCAAGGCGAUGAUCAGUAGCCGGACUGAGAGGAUGAACGGCCAAAUUGGGACUGAGACACGGCCCAGACUCCUACGGGAGGCAGCAGGGGGGAAUCUUCCGCAAUGGACGAAAGUCUGACGGAGCAACGCCGCGUGAGUGAUGACGGCAUUCGGGUUGUAAAGCUCUGUUAAUCGGGACGAAAGGCCUUUUUGCGAAUAGUGAGAAGGAUUGACGGUACCGGAAUAGAAAGCCACGGCUAACUACGUG